UACAGAGGGUGCAAGCGUUAAUCGGAAUUACUGGGCGUAAAGGGUGUGUAGGUGGUUUGUUGAGUUCACUGUGAAAGUUCUAGGCUUAACCUGGAAAAGUCGGUGAAGACGGACAAACUAGAGAACAGGAGAGGGCAGAGGAAUUUCCGGAGUAGCGGUGAAAUGCGUAGAUACCGGAAGGAACACCAGUGGCGAAGGCGUCUGUCUGGUCUGUUUCUGACACUGAAACACGAAGGCGUGGGUAGCGAACAGG
Molecule: unclassified non-coding RNA, 253 nt
Filed under: uncultured Gammaproteobacteria bacterium
Lineage: Bacteria; Pseudomonadati; Pseudomonadota; Gammaproteobacteria
Description: contains 16S-23S intergenic spacer region
Rfam family: Bacterial small subunit ribosomal RNA
Source: RNAcentral